RNAcentral lists this ribosomal RNA (508 nucleotides) under Fusarium sp. Z155. Its description in RNAcentral is "eukaryotic LSU rRNA". The stretch from base 142 to 295 matches the Rfam family "5.8S ribosomal RNA". Lineage: Eukaryota; Fungi; Ascomycota; Sordariomycetes; Hypocreales; Nectriaceae. RNAcentral also lists the same sequence under 84 other names. The record is from RNAcentral.
CUCGGGCCGGGAUGUUCACAACCCUUUGUUGUCCGACUCUGUUGCCUCCGGGGCGACCCUGCCUCCGGGCGGGGGCCCCGGGUGGACAUUUCAAACUCUUGCGUAACUUUGCAGUCUGAGUAAAUUUAAUUAAUAAAUUAAAACUUUCAACAACGGAUCUCUUGGUUCUGGCAUCGAUGAAGAACGCAGCGAAAUGCGAUAAGUAAUGUGAAUUGCAGAAUUCAGUGAAUCAUCGAAUCUUUGAACGCACAUUGCGCCCCCUGGUAUUCCGGGGGGCAUGCCUGUUCGAGCGUCAUUUCACCACUCAAGCCUCGCUUGGUAUUGGGCGACGCGGUCCGCCGCGCGCCUCAAAUCGACCGGCUGGGUCUUUCGUCCCCUCAGCGUUGUGGAAACUAUUCGCUAAAGGGUGCCGCGGGAGGCCACGCCGUAAAACAACCCCAUUUCUAAGGUUGACCUCGGAUCAGGUAGGGAUACCCGCUGAACUUAAGCAUAUCAAUAAGCGGAGGAA